Molecule: ribosomal RNA, 386 nt
Filed under: Cryothecomonas sp.
Lineage: Eukaryota; Cercozoa; Thecofilosea; Cryomonadida; Protaspidae
Description: partial small subunit ribosomal RNA
Rfam family: Eukaryotic small subunit ribosomal RNA
Source: RNAcentral
AGCUCCAAGAGCGUAUAUUAAAGUUGUUGCAGUUAAAAAGCUCGUAGUUGGAUUUCUGGUACAACGCGCCUGGCCCGCUUUUUGUGGGUGCCGGUGCGCGUUUGCCAUCCUUCUAGAAAACGUUUCUACCCGGGUAACUGGGCCGGACUCGCGAUCUAGAUCUUUUACUUUGAAAAAAUUAGAGUGUUUAAAGCAGGCUUUUGCUGUGAAUACAUUAGCAUGGAAUAAUAAUCUAGGACUUCGGUUCUAUUUUGUUGGUUUCUAGUACUGAAGUAAUGAUUGAUAGGGAUAGUUGGGGGUGCUAGUAUUGGCCGGCCAGAGGUGAAAUUCUUGGAUUCGGUCAAGACUAACUUAUGCGAAAGCAUUCACCAAGGAUGUCUUCUUUA